This 1343-nucleotide ribosomal RNA is filed under the name uncultured bacterium. Its description in RNAcentral is "16S ribosomal RNA". It matches the Rfam family "Bacterial small subunit ribosomal RNA", at positions 28 to 1378 of the family's 1533-position model. The record is from RNAcentral.
GACGAACGCUGGCGGCGUGCUUAACACAUGCAAGUCGAACGGAAAGGCCCUGCUUUUGUGGGGUGCUCGAGCGGCGAACGGGUGAGUAACACGUGAGUAACCUGCCCUUGACUUUGGGAUAACUUCAGGAAACUGAGGCUAAUACCGGAUAGGAGCUCCUGCUGCAUGGUGGGGGUUGGAAAGUUUCGGCGGUUGGGGAUGGACUCGCGGCUUAUCAGCUUGUUGGUGGGGUAGUGGCUUACCAAGGCUUUGACGGGUAGCCGGCCUGAGAGGGUGACCGGCCACAUUGGGACUGAGAUACGGCCCAGACUCCUACGGGAGGCAGCAGUGGGGAAUAUUGCACAAUGGGCGGAAGCCUGAUGCAGCAACGCCGCGUGCGGGAUGACGGCCUUCGGGUUGUAAACCGCUUUCGCCUGUGACGAAGCGUGAGUGACGGUAAUGGGUAAAGAAGCACCGGCUAACUACGUGCCAGCAGCCGCGGUGAUACGUAGGGUGCGAGCGUUGUCCGGAUUUAUUGGGCGUAAAGGGCUCGUAGGUGGUUGAUCGCGUCGGAAGUGUAAUCUUGGGGCUUAACCCUGAGCGUGCUUUCGAUACGGGUUGACUUGAGGAAGGUAGGGGAGAAUGGAAUUCCUGGUGGAGCGGUGGAAUGCGCAGAUAUCAGGAGGAACACCAGUGGCGAAGGCGGUUCUCUGGGCCUUUCCUGACGCUGAGGAGCGAAAGCGUGGGGAGCGAACAGGCUUAGAUACCCUGGUAGUCCACGCUGUAAACGGUGGGUACUAGGUGUGGGGUCCAUUCCACGGGUUCCGUGCCGUAGCUAACGCUUUAAGUACCCCGCCUGGGGAGUACGGCCGCAAGGCUAAAACUCAAAGGAAUUGACGGGGCCCCACACAAGCGGCGGAGCAUGCGGAUUAAUUCGAUGCAACGCGUAGAACCUUACCUGGGUUUGACAUGGAUCGGGAGCGCUCAGAGAUGGGUGUGCCUCUUUUGGGGUCGGUUCACAGGUGGUGCAUGGCUGUCGUCAGCUCGUGUCGUGAGAUGUUGGGUUAAGUCCCGCAACGAGCGCAACCCUUGUUCACUGUUGCCAGCACGUUAUGGUGGGGACUCAGUGGAGACCGCCGGGGUCAACUCGGAGGAAGGUGGGGAUGACGUCAAGUCAUCAUGCCCCUUAUGUCCAGGGCUUCACGCAUGCUACAAUGGCUGGUACAGAGAGUGGCGAGCCUGUGAGGGUGAGCGAAUCUCGGAAAGCCGGUCUCAGUUCGGAUUGGGGUCUGCAACUCGACCUCAUGAAGUCGGAGUCGCUAGUAAUCGCAGAUCAGCAACGCUGCGGUGAAUACGUUCCCGGG